CCAGCCUCUACUGCCAUACCACCAACGUCCACAUCUGAUGUCAUGGGACAUUAUGAUAAAAUAGGAGGCAUUACUCCUGGAGUCUUCCUCAUAAAUGGUAUAUUCACAUACACCAGUGAAAGAAUCCUCAUGAGUGAAUUUUGUUAACCAGAUGCUCAAUGUAUGCCAAACAUUACUGCUGAUUCAGCAUAACACGUUUCAAUAUCAUAUGCUGCAUCAUCACUGGUUCAUCAAUAAGCUUUCCAUUAAACAACCAACCUACACUGUAACCUUUGUUUUUAAUGCAGUUUACAUUAUUGCUUAGCAACUGAAUGUUUUAGGAUUAAUUCCAGAUCUCCCAAACCACAUACAGGAUGACAAAGGUACUAGAAAGGAAUAUAGAUGUUUUGUGUCUGUACCCAGGUAUUAAGUGAGAUUCUCAAGGGUCUGUGCCUGUGAAUGGUGUUCACCACUGAUAGUUGUCCGUGUGUAGUUCACAUCUUAAAUUUCGAGUUAAGUGAGGUUCAAGACUUGGCCAUAUCACCAAGUUCUGUAUUCAGUAGUGAUUAGCAGCAGUAAUUAACUGAUGUUUUUGCCAAAAAAUAAUCUAUUCAGUCUCAUGUCACAAGCUGGUAUGUGUAAUAAAGAUUCUCAGGACUGCACUACUGACUUUCAUAGAAUCACUAACUGGCUGAGGUUUGCAGAGACCUAUGGAGGCCACCUGGUCCAACACUUGCUCAAGCAGGGACUCACAGAGCAGAGUGGCAAGGCCAGUGUCCAGGCAGCUUCUGAAGAUCUCCAAGGAGCAGGCUCCACAGACUGUGGGUAACCUGUGAUGGUGUUUCAUCACCCUCACAGCACAGAAGUGCUGCUCCUAUGUUCCAGUUUGUGCUCAUUUCCCUUGGUCCUGGCACUGAUGACCACUGAAAAGAGCCUGGCUUCAUCUUCUUUGUCAUCUCCUUUCAAGUGUUUAUACACAUUGAUGAGUUCCCAUCCUGAACUUUCUCCAGGCUGAACAGUCCCAGCUCUCAGCCUCUCCUCAUACAAGCGAUGCCCCAGUCCCUUGAUCAUCUUCAUGACCCUUUGAUGGAUUCUCUCCAGUGUGUCCACGUCUCUGUUGUACUGGAAGCCUAAGACUGGAUAUAAUAUCCAGGUGUGCCUGGUUCAUGCUUAGAGAACUACUGUAUCUUCUGAGAACAAGGUCUGAGAUCAUUAGGGUGUUCCUGGGAACUCCCAAAGAAACUUUAGGAUGCUGUCACUGUCAGAUAUGGACAAGAACUAGAGAGACACAAGGCUGUACACCUGCGGAAGCUCCAGCAGCUUCUGAUGAUGUUGGUUCUGCCCUUGACCCCAUUGCCUAGCACCUUUGCUACAGCUGGGGAUGACCAAGCACCCUUUAAACUGGUGCAAGGGAGAUAUAGGAGUGCAUCACUUGGGGCAGUAGUCUGCUAUGCGCUUAGGGAAUACUUCUGCCUGGAUAAAAGCAACACUACCUUUGGAAAGAGAAGAUGAUGCAUCGUGUUGUGUUUUCCUGAGAUUUUUAUUUGCAGAUGAGGCCUUUUUUCUGGUGUCUUUAGUUUCUGGAAGAGGAUAGCGACAGUGAAAAGUGCCUUCAGUGAAGGGCUUUAGAUAAAGUUAAAGCAGGAAUAGCAAGCAGAUUCAUAGAGAAGAAGUGACAAAUGAUCCCCAGAUAUCUUUACAGAAAUGGAAAUAACUUGCCCACCACCACACUUGGCCAAGGGUAUAAACACAGCUCAGCUGCUACCAUAGUAGGUGACAUAAAUUACAUGAUAUUUACCCAUGAAGUCUGUUUGCCAUCACCCAGGUUUUCUAGCUGCAGGCACUGAGUAAUUUAACUGCAAAUUCUGCUGCUUGAGUAGCACUCAGAAGUAUCAGGUAAGGCUCAUGUCUACGUUUGUCAUAUGAGCAAUGACAGUCACAAUGACUUAUUCUGAAACACUUCAUCUGCAGUAGUCAGCUGCUGUCUACUACAACAAUACUUUACUAGACUCAGCUAUGAGAAGGCAGCUAUCAAAUACAGAACCUCGUAAUUCCCCCGCCCUCCACUCUCACAACGAGCUGUUCAAAAUAACUACCAUUAUCUGUGCUGACAUUAGUGCAUUUAUCUACACAUUGAGUUGUUUGAAGAAUGAUUGCCUCAAUAUGAAUGGAAGGGCUGUUGUGCUCUCUUUAAUGGUGUUUUCAAAAAAGUUCUGCACAUACUUACAUAUUCUGAUUUCUUUUUCUCCUUAAGACAGCCAAUGAAUAGCUGUGAAUAACUUUUUUGGCCGUUCACUGUUUUGAAGAUUUCAACCAUACCACAUUUCUGAAAGUUUAUAUACUGUAUAACAGACAUGCUUCAAAAAUUAUUGAUACUAUACCUUACCAUAAAACAUAUUCGUAAUGUACAUGUUAAUUCCUGUGGUGUCUGAGGAUAUAAUAAGGCCUUCUAUGUAUACACUCUCUCAUUAUUAAUCUCAUUAAUAAUCCUCUCAUUAUUAAACCACGUGCAUCUUCUGUUUACCAGAGUCCCAUUGUAUAAGAAUCCAGUAAGUUAAUUCUAUUGGUGAAAAAGGAUGGGCGAACACCAGCAGGUCAUCUCUUCAGGAAACUUAAUGGGCAUUCCAGCAUUUCCAGAUGUGUCUGAGAUGGGCUCAUCACAUAAAGAAGAUGUGGAAGCAUGGUGGAUAAAUACAGCGGUAUGAGGAAGCUUCCUAUUUUAACCCUGACAACAGCUUUUUCAGUUGCUGGCUGCUAAGGUUGACUUUGGAGAAAACUAUCCUUGAUGGAUAAGAUCUUGCCCCCAGACUGUUAUCAUGGGUAUUUCCCAUGAUAUCAAGGUGAUAUUUCCCACCACUAAUUCCAAAUUUAAUUCCAUCUGCUGUCUUUUCACCAUGUCACUUACUGUCAUGAUACACUUGUGUAGCUUCAUCUAAUGUGUUUUGGUUUGGAGAUUCCUGAACAAAUCCAAUAAUGGCCAUCGUUGUUGCCACAGUGUUCAUCCUCUCUUCCUAAUGUUGUAUGAACAUGCUCAAUAGUAUGGUCCAUAAGACAGCCUGAUGAUAGCUUCACCUCUACUACUGUGGAACCUGACCACUUUUUUCCUUUAACAGCUUAAUGGAUUGUGACAUAUCUGGGGCUGUUUUGGACAAAUUAAAUACCUAGUUGUUUUCAGUAAGCUAGUCAUCCCAUCCAUUUGGUUAGCUGUAUAAUAAUGCUUUGUGGGCUGUUCAAAGUUGUUAAAGAAAUGGUAUUUUGCUUAUAAAAUCGUUCAUCUCU
RNAcentral lists this long non-coding RNA (3258 nucleotides) under Gallus gallus (chicken). Its description in RNAcentral is "lncRNA (ENSGALG00010015005.1)". The record is from RNAcentral. Lineage: Eukaryota; Metazoa; Chordata; Aves; Galliformes; Phasianidae.